GACGUCGAUAUUCGACGUCAUAACAGUAUCAAGUUUGGUGUUUAUGACGUCGAUAUUCGACGUCAUAAACGCCAUCAAGUUUGGUGUUUAUGACGUCGAUAUACGAAGUAAUAAACACCAUCAAGUUUGGUGUUUAUGACGUCGAUAUACGACGUCAUAAACACCAUCAAGUUUGGUGUUUAUGACGUCGAUAUUCGACGUC
This 202-nucleotide microRNA precursor is filed under the name Paramuricea clavata. Lineage: Eukaryota; Metazoa; Cnidaria; Anthozoa; Malacalcyonacea; Plexauridae. The record is from RNAcentral.